CAGGAAGCCCGUUCUCAGGGCUCUGACCUUUAAAGCCUGCCAGACUCCUCUGUCCAUGGGAUUCUCCAGGCAAGAAUACUGGAGUGGGUUGCUGUACCCUCUUCCAGGGGAUCUUCCCAACCCAGGGAUCGAAGCUUCAUCUCCUAAGUCUCCUGCAUUGGCAGAAGAAGGAAAAAGUGAAGGAGGAGGGACAAGAGGAGAAAGUCAGCGGAAAUGAAUGAACCUUCCUCCGCGCCAUGGCUGGAGCACUCUGAAAAGGGAAACCUUGACCACCCGGACCUGGAAAACACACAUUAUUGGCAGGAUCUAAGCUGAUGGAAACCUAACUGAACUAGAAUUUGGGUCUUCCAACACUCCCAGCACAGUGUUGUCACUCCCAAGCUGUGUGACCUUUGCAAAAUCAUAUCUCUGACCCUCACUUUCUUCAUCUACAAAAGGAAAGAGUUACAUGGUUUCUCUCUUCUCCAGGGUUGCACUAGUAAGACAGCUGGUAAUGUUAAUUGAUAAGGAAGUGGUUCAAAGAGGAUCCAUCUGUUUUUAAUUAAAUUCCUUUUGCAACAUCUUUAUAAAUGCUCUGGGUCUAAGAGAUAACGUAUUAGGAGAUCCAGAAAGCAUACAUAUUGAAGCCACAUGCUGCUAUAUAAAGGACAGACUCAAUUAAAUAGAAUUAAACCAGUGACUGGUGAGAAUGGGGAAGCCUGUGCUUUGAGAGAUUUGGGGAGCGAGUUAAAGUUUAUUGGGCAUCAGAAAAGUUAAGAGAGUUUUUUCAAUGGAAAUUGAAUGUUAGCGGAAACAUUAGUAUAGGACACUGACAUUCCAUGAACUCUGACAAAGUAAAAGGAAGGAAGGAAAUAAGAAAACAGAAGCCAGAGGUGACAAAGGAUAAAUGGUUGGGAAUGUCAUCCAUGAGGAGGUGAAGUGGGAGAAAGAGGUACAAAAGCUGGAGUGAUGACGAUUCCUACCCGCAAAUCAAAUUUACCCAUGAGUUCUGGGGUUUGGUUUUUAAAUGCAAUAAACUAUUUUUUAGAGCAGUUUAGGGUCACAGCAGCACUGAGUGGAAAAUAGAGUUCCAUCUGCUUCUGUCCCCACGCACGCCCCGUCCCCACUACCAACAUCCUGCUGCACAGUCAUGCAUUUGUUGCAGCGGCGGAACCCGUACUGACACAUCACCCAGAGUCCAUAGUGCACGUUUCAGCUCGCUCGGUGGCGGACAUUCCAUGCGCGUUUCACAAAUGCGUAGUGACAUGGAUCCACCAUUGCUGUGUCACACAGAACAGUCUCCCUGCCCUAAACAUCCUCUGCGCUCUGUCUGCUCACCCCUCCCUGCCCCCGCCCCCCUGGCACCACUGGUCUUUUUAUCAUCACCUUAUUUUUGUCUUCUCCUCAUUGUCGGAUAGUUGGAAUCAUACAGUGUAUAGCAUUUGCAGAUUGGCUUCUUUCACUUAGAAACACGCAUUUCUUCCAAGUCUUUUUGUGGCUCCACAGCUCGUUUCUUUUUAGCACUAAUUGUUUUGUUGCAGC
Long non-coding RNA from Bos taurus (domestic cattle), 1521 nucleotides. Lineage: Eukaryota; Metazoa; Chordata; Mammalia; Artiodactyla; Bovidae. The record is from Ensembl.